This 497-nucleotide ribosomal RNA is filed under the name uncultured bacterium. RNAcentral describes it as "partial 16S ribosomal RNA". It matches the Rfam family "Bacterial small subunit ribosomal RNA", at positions 28 to 507 of the family's 1533-position model. The record is from RNAcentral.
GAUGAACGCUGGCGGCGUGCCUAAUACAUGCCAGUCGAGCGAACAGACGAGGAGCUUGCUCCUCUGACGUUAGCGGCGGACGUGUGAGUAACACGUGGAUAACCUACCUAUAAGACUGGGAUAACUUCGGGAAACCGGAGCUAAUACCGGAUAAUAGAUUCAACCGCAUGGUUCAAUAGUUAAAGACGGUUUUGCUGGCACUUAUAGAUGGCUCCGCGCCGCAUUAGCUAGUUGGUAAGGUAACGGCUUACCAAGGCGACGAUGCGUAGCCGACCUGAGAGGGUGAACGGGCACACUGGGACUGAGACACGGUCCAGACUCCUACGGGAGGCAGCAGUAGGGAAUCUUGCGAGAUGGGCGAAAGCCUGACGGAGCAACGCAGCGUGAGUGAUGAAGGUCUUCGGGCCGUAAAACUCUGUUAUUAGGGAAGAACGAAUGUGGAAGUAACUAUGCACGUCUUGACGGUACCUACUCAGAAAGCACCGGCUAACUACGUG